Molecule: RNA transcript, 4564 nt
Organism: Amphibalanus amphitrite
Lineage: Eukaryota; Metazoa; Arthropoda; Thecostraca; Balanomorpha; Balanidae
Gene name: lachesin-like
Exons: 2
Source: RefSeq, a predicted model, not a curated record
GAGUGUCUCCUCUUGUUCCAGACCGAGGUCAUGUUCGGACGACUGGCCCUCCUGCUACUCUGGGUCGCAGCCAGCCGCACCAAAGGAUCGGAAGAAAAUGACGUCACGCCCGGCCUGCGAAGCGGAAUCUUAUUCCAGCCGAAGGGACCAUUGGUGUUGGCCACCGGAACCUGGACAGCAAUAGUGAGAUUUCAGCAAGAGGACGUCGAAAGGCAAUCAAAUCAAAUCCGGGAGCAAUUCACCAAAAUUGAUAGGGCUUUAGAGAACAGCGGCGAAUUUGAAGCGAACCAGACGGCCGAAGAACAGAGAACCCAACAAUUUAUCAGAGAAAUGAAAGCCAUGUGGAAUCAAGAGCGUACCUGGAUGGAGGCUGAGCUAAGGGCUGGUGAAGUUGAAAUCCAGGAACUCAGGACGGAAUUGAGACUCAGUCGCCGAGCCAGGGGACUGAUUAACGCCCUUGGCGACGGUUUAAAAUGGUUGUUUGGCACCGCCACGGAAACUGAUGUCCAAAAACUGCACAAACAAAUCGAAGGAAUCACGGCCGGCGUGGGAAAACUUCAUCAUAUUGCUGAACUACAAACCACCUUAAUCGGAGAAAUUUCAAAGCGUCAGAAGAACAACGACAAACACUUAGUGACGCUAGCCAGAAAGGCCAUCGAGCUGGAGUCACUCUUUACAGUUACGAGAGAUGCCGACCACAUUACCAUGCGGAAUAUUCGUCGAGAGCUCGAUUUCGGCCACGCGAUCUCCUCUGCCAUCCGUACCGCAAGCGCCGCUGUGAUGACUUUUCACCACGAAGUGAGGCAAAUCAGCCGGGCGAUGGCGCACACUCAACAAGGAGUGGUAACGCCGGCCAUUUUGUCGCCCGCAACGCUGAAGACCACCAUGGCGGCCAUCACUAAUCACCUGCCUGAUGGGUGGGUGCCAGCCAUCUCGCUCUCAGAAACACCGGCAAACAUCUACAAGUUCUUAGAAAUUUCCGCGGUGGCGCUUGAAGACGGCUGGGAAGUGCAUAUCCAAAUCCCGCUCCAAUACCGGCCAUAUGGACAAUACCAUCUCUUUAAGGUCAACUCCAUCCCUACACACUUCUCCAAUUCCUCAAUUGCCCUAGAAGCCCAAGUCCCCUACCCAUAUUUCGCAAUAUCGAAGGACCAGCGCCUACACAUUGAAUUGUCGGCAGAAGAAAUUAGCCGUUGCCGCCACGUCGGUGGGCGAACGAUGUGCAACAAGCUUACACCUCUCAUCAAGGAGAAGAGAGAGGGUUGUCUAUACCAUGCUUUCCGGGACGAAGAAAGCAAGGUUGAGGAAGAAUGCGUGCGGAAAAUGAUAAAACCGAAACCGCAAAUAUACCCCGUAGCGGACAACAAAUGGCUUUAUGUACUACCAACCGAGGAGUUAUUCUCUAUGCAAUGUGCCGGAGAAGGAAUGCCAACCAAAGGGUUCCGGUUACAAGGAACAGGUAUUUUCUCCCUUCCGGCCAGCUGCACUGCGAUGGGAGACCAUUACAUCAUCCCAGCUCAUCUGAAAAGGCAAGGCGACACCCCAGCUGAGAUGAAAUUGACUGACAUGACUCACUUCAAGAUUGAACUGAAACCAAGUACUUUCCAAAACUACAUUUCUACCAAAGGAAGGAUAAACCAAACAGAACUAAAUGAAAUUCUUGAAGCAGCCAAAGAGACGGAUCGAGAAGAUUCAAUGCUGACAGAGCUGAAAGAAACAAUGAAGAACUGGAACGAAUCCCCGGACACAGAAGGGAUAUCCUUCAAGUUAAUCAACCACACCUCCCUAACCCUCGGAGGAGUCGCCCUGCUUGGGGUGCUCGGCCUGCUUGCCUACAACUGCAGCCGAAACAGACGACCACAGAGUACCAUCAUCCAACCCUGCCAAAAUCCCGACCUGCCCAUCCCAUCUGCCCCUCUCCUGCCCGAUCCCAGCCAGAUAUCACAACUCCAAUCCCGGAUCCACCACCUGGAAGUAAUCACAACGGACCUGCAAUGUCGCAUGGAGAAGACGGCGCAACUCGAAAUCGCCCUCGCUAAGCUGAAAAAACAACACGAUGAGCUGACCGCCCUUCUCUAAGUCCAAACCGGACAGAGAACGGGCCGGUAACCGACACGGAUGCAGGCCGACCCAGAUGAGAACGGGACGCGGAAGGACGACUACAAACUCGAUGAACGGCCAGGACGACUACACGACAACUAGCAGGGAUAUCAAUCACGAGCGGCUGAGGUGGACCGAGCGGCUGUCUCAAAAAGCCACUCACCACCACUCGGCUACAACAACCGGUGGACGACUACACUCUAUGGUGGACCGACUACACAACCGUCGGACUGAUCCAGAUGGGAACGAGGAAGGAGGACGACUACAAACCCGGUGAACGGCCAGGACGACUACACGACAACUAGCAGGGACAUCAAUCACGAGCGGCUGAGGUGGACCGAGCGGCUGUCUCAAAAGCCACUCACCACCACUCAGCUACAACAACCGGUGGACGACUACACUCACCGACUACUGAGGUGGACCGACUACACAACCGCCAGACUGAUCCAGAUGGGAACGGGGAAGGAGGACGACUCCAAACCCGGUGAACGGCCAGGACGACUACACGACAACUAGCAGGGACAUCAAUCACGAGCGGCUGAGGUGGACCGAGCGGCUGCCUCAAAAAGCCACUCACCACCACUCGGCUACAACAACCGGUGGACGACUACACUCUAUGGUGGACCGACUACACAACCGUCAGACUGAUCCAGAUGGGAACGAGGAAGGAGGACGACUACAAACCCGGUGAACGGCCAGGACGACUACACGACAACUAGCAGGGACAUCAAUCACGAGCGGCUGAGGUGGACCGAGCGGCUGUCUCAGAAAGCUACUCACCACCACUCGGCUACGGCAGCCGUGGACAACGACCGGUGGACGACUUCACGCUAUUGGUGGACAGACCAACUCAAUUCAUCAGGUAACGCUGUCACACCGACGGCGAGCCUGGAAUGACAGCGGGCGAUAUACUAAACGAGUAAGCUUGGCCCAGUGUAUGUGUAUAUAGUAUGUGUAUAUAGUAUGUGUAUGUGCUAGUUUAUGCUUAAAGACUGCUGUAGGAAUUGGGGAUGGCCGCAGCGGGCCUAAACCUGCUACACAGCAAGGGUAGAUCGAGAAUCGCGCGGAUGUGUGAUUUAUGCGACCGAUGUUUGAAUGUGUGGGGUUAAUUGGUUAGUAGGGAUAAGUAAAACAUGUAAAAGUCAGUCCCGGGGACGCCCCAUGCUCAUCCUAUACUUCCUACCCAGCCAAGCACUCAUGUCAAAUAGCCGCCAAUCCUUAAGACCCCGGCCACUCGCUCUCACCACAGCAGUCACCAGGACUACAGCGACAAUGGCAACGGCAGAAGCAGACUCCCGCCCGUCUAGUCGCGGGGCGCGACUAUAAAAAAGAGAUCUGAAAAUGUAACGCAGAUGCGCCACAUUUUUUUUUCUUCUUCAAUUUGAACAAGUCAGCCGUGCCACAAGCAAAAGUGCAAUCAUUGACCAGAUCGCAGGACGGCCGACCGCGCGCCGGGCGCCGGGCGCCGGCGCACUCAGGCCGGCCCAAAAACAGCAGCUGCACCCGACUCGGACGAAAAUAGGCAGAGGCUGGGACCGGGAACGCGGAUGCCGAUCAGCCAUGUCGUCCGAUGAAUGGAGAGCCGGGCUGUGCACGCAAACAAAGUCAUUUGACCCCCUGACCGUCGGCCUCAAAACCAUCUGGCGCACCGCACAGACACGGUCAGUCGGCUCAAUCGGCGGCGAUACCUAUUUGCGUCGCAGACCGGCGUACACAAGGGGUGCAGCCGGCUUUGACAACAAAGCUCCGCUGUGGAAUACCACCCCCAAUUCGUGAGAACCAGGAUCUGAAGUCGACAAAUAGCAUGCCGGAGCACACCACCUGCCAGUGGCGAGUCAUUUAUCAGUUGACCCUUUGGAAAACAGGACUUGGUCCCACGCUCGGCACCCCGAUGGGGACAUUUAUCAAGCGGACCAUUACUGACAGAAGCCAAACAAGAGAAAGGGCGCAGCUGUCGACCUGGACUUCAGCGGGGCACCAAACAAGGGGAGCGGAGAAACGACCCACAUUUCCGAUACAAUUAACCAGGAAUCUGGGAAAAGAGAGUGGCUCGCCCCAGGGCUGCUGAGAGGACCGUCAAUACUACACCCUGAGGGGAUGCACAGCCACCGCCAUCAAAUCACGAGGAACUGGGGCGGUGCUUCAAGCCGAAGAAGACAUCGCAUUGGUUCGAGGGCGGUACCUAUGUCCCUUCACCAAAUUUACUCCGCCCACCAAACUGGACCGCUGAAAUGACGUCACCAGGAGUAUUUAAACUAGAGCAAGAAAGAAAAAGGGUCACUCUCGGUGACGAUCUACCUGGGCGGCGGGAGUGCCACUAGUAGCAGCCGACGACGCAGCAGCAGCCUACUCUCUUCAAGGAGGUGGCCUGGAUCAAGGUGGACACGCAGACGAUCCUGACGAUCGGCAGCCACCUGAUCACGCGCGACUACCAGAUAUCGCUGUCGCAGUCGGACGGCCGCGU